AUGGGCUAUAUUAUCCUAUUUUGCAAAUCAAAAAAGUUUAAGUUUUGGUUCAAAAAAGGAAAAGAAAUUCACAAACAAGUUUACGGCAAAAACAAAGCCAGUCAAAAGCAUUGCCAAAAGUCAGGCCUGCUACCCUGCGUAUUUUUGUCAAAGAAACAAUCUCAACAUGCACAAAACUUCCAAACAACAUAG
Molecule: non-coding RNA, 192 nt
Organism: Vicia faba (fava bean)
Lineage: Eukaryota; Viridiplantae; Streptophyta; Magnoliopsida; Fabales; Fabaceae
Source: the annotation of a GenBank genome assembly